GACGAACGCUGGCGGCGUGCUUAACACAUGCAAGUCGAACGGAAAGGCCCUGCUUUUGUGGGGUGCUCGAGUGGCGAACGGGUGAGUAACACGUGAGUAACCUGCCCUUGACUUUGGGAUAACUUCAGGAAACUGGGGCUAAUACCGGAUAGGAGCUCCUGCUGCAUGGUGGGGGUUGGAAAGUUUCGGCGGUUGGGGAUGGACUCGCGGCUUAUCAGCUUGUUGGUGGGGUAGUGGCUUACCAAGGCUUUGACGGGUAGCCGGCCUGAGAGGGUGACCGGCCACAUUGGGACGGGGAUACGGCCCAGACCCCUACGGGGGGCAGCAGUGGGGAAAUUUGCACAAUGGGGGGAAGCCUGAUGCAGCAACGCCGGGGGGGGGAUGACGGCCUUCGGGUUGUAAACCGCUUUCGCCUGGGACGAAGCGGGAGUGACGGUAAUGGGUAAAGAAACACCGGCUAACUACGU
This 467-nucleotide ribosomal RNA is filed under the name uncultured bacterium. RNAcentral describes it as "partial 16S ribosomal RNA". It matches the Rfam family "Bacterial small subunit ribosomal RNA", at positions 28 to 506 of the family's 1533-position model. The record is from RNAcentral.